Molecule: ribosomal RNA, 461 nt
Filed under: uncultured bacterium
Lineage: Bacteria
Description: bacterial SSU rRNA
Rfam family: Bacterial small subunit ribosomal RNA
Source: RNAcentral
AAUCAACGCUGGCGGCGUGCCUAACACAUGCAAGUCGAACGCGAAAGCCCGCAAGGGUAAGUAGAGUGGCGCACGGGUGAGUAACACGUGGACAACCUGCCUUCGAGUGGGGAAUAACCUUCCGAAAGGAGGGCUAAUACCGCAUAACACCUCGGGACACAAGUUCUGGGGUUGAAAAGAGCAAUUUGCUCGAAGAGGGGUCCGGGCCUGAUUAGCUAGUUGGUGAGGUAACGGCUCACCAAGGCUCGAUCAGUAGCCGUCCUGAGAGGGAGCACGGCCACACUGGAACUGAGACACGGUCCAGACUCCUACGGGAGGCAGCAGUGGGGAAUUUUUGGCAAUGGGCGAAAGCCUGACCAAGCAACGCCGCGUGGGUGAUGAAGUAUCUUGGUACGUAAAACCCUUCGGCAGGGACGAACCUAAUGACGGUACCUGCGGAAGAAGCCCCGGCUAACUCCGUG